GACGUUUGCGGCGGGCCUAACACAUGCAAGUCGAACGCGAAAGUCCUUCGGGGCGAGUAGAGUGGCGGACGGGUGAGUAACGCGUGGGAAUCUACCCUAGAGCGGGGGACAACCCGGGGAAACCCGGGCUAAUACCGCAUACGUCCUACGGGAGAAAGAGGGCCUCUGCUUGCACGCUCUCACUCCAGGAUGAGCCCACGUCCGAUUAGCUAGUUGGUAGGGUAAAGGCCUACCAAGGCCACGAUCGGUAGCUGGUCUGAGAGGAUGAUCAGCCACACUGGGACUGAGACACGGCCCAGACUCCUACGGGAGGCAGCAGUGGGGAAUAUUGGACAAUGGGCGCAAGCCUGAUCCAGCAAUGCCGCGUGUGUGAGGAAGGCCUGCGGGUUGUAAAGCACUUUCAGUGGGGAAGAACAGAUUCGGGUCAAUACCCCGGAGCCCUGACGUUACCCACAGAAGAAGCACCAGCUAACUCCGUG
This 479-nucleotide ribosomal RNA is filed under the name uncultured bacterium. RNAcentral's name for it is "bacterial SSU rRNA". It matches the Rfam family "Bacterial small subunit ribosomal RNA", at positions 33 to 507 of the family's 1533-position model. The record is from RNAcentral.